AACGAACGCUGGCGGCAUGCCUAACACAUGCAAGUCGAACGAGACCUUCGGGUCUAGUUGCGCACGGGUGCGUAACGCGUGGGAACCUUCCCUUAGGUUCGGAAUAACUCCCCGAAAGGGGUGCUAAUACCGGAUAAUUGCUUCUGACCAAUGAUUUAUUGGCUUUGGAGGGGCACGCGUUGGAUUAGCUAGUUGGUAAGGUAAAAGUCUACCAAGGCGACGAUCCAUAGCUGGUCUGAGAGGAUGACCAGCCACACUGGGACUGUGACACGGCCCAGACUCUUACGGGAGGAAGAAGUGGGGAAUAUUGGACAACGGGCGAAAGCAUGAUCCAGCAAUGCCGCGUGAGUGAUGAAGGCCUUAGGGUUGUAAAGCUCUUUUACCCGGGAUGAUAAUGACAGUACCGGGAGAAUAAGCUCCGGCUAACUACGUG
This 433-nucleotide ribosomal RNA is filed under the name uncultured bacterium. RNAcentral describes it as "partial 16S ribosomal RNA". It matches the Rfam family "Bacterial small subunit ribosomal RNA", at positions 29 to 507 of the family's 1533-position model. The record is from RNAcentral.